CCUGCUAUAUCAUCCUUCCUACUGUUGUAAGAAUCCUUUCCCCAUCUCACUGCCCUCAUCGGCGCAGGCAGGAUCACUGCGGCCCUCUGAGUCACCCGAUACUCCCUCCGAUUACUGUGUGCACCCAAUAAAUAGUGGCUCGCUCGGAGUGUCUCUCUCUUUGCCCACUCUGGCAUUGACCUCCCAGCCCCCCGUGAACUUUGAAAUUGUCUCUUCAUCUUUCUUUAGCCCUCGCUGCACCCCUCUCUAGGCAGAUCUGAGGAUUGAUCAGCCUCUGACAGUGACAGGUACUAAUGUCCCAUUCCUGUGGCAGAUCCUGAUGUGAACAGACCUGGGGCCCUCCUGGCAGCAGAGGGGCAGCAGACAGGCGCUGAUUGCUGAUGUGGACCAUCCUGGAGUUAACAGAUGGCUGAGACAGACUGCAGCCCCAGGCCAGGCUCCUGCAUGCCCUCCCCAGGAUGCCUCCAAGGUCUGGUCACUAGUACCACCGCCUGACUGACCCGUCACGGAGUCGGACAUGUCAGACAGCAGACCGGGCAAGUAUAGCCCUUCCCC
This 555-nucleotide long non-coding RNA is filed under the name Heterocephalus glaber (naked mole-rat). RNAcentral's name for it is "lncRNA (ENSHGLG00100034991.1)". The record is from RNAcentral. Lineage: Eukaryota; Metazoa; Chordata; Mammalia; Rodentia; Bathyergidae.